UGCUGGCUGUUCACAUGCCUAAAACACAUCUGGAGAAAGGGCCGGGCAAGACCGGUGCCAGCCGCCGCGGUAAUACCGGCGGCUCGAGUGGUGGCCACUUUUAUUGGGCUUAAAGGGUUCGUAGCUGGGUUGUUGGGUCUCUUGGGAAAUCUGGCGGCUUAACCGUCGGGCGUCUAAGGGAUACUGGUUUUCUUGGAACCGGGAGAGGUGAGGGGUACUUCCGGGGUAGGAGUGAAAUCCUGUAAUCCUCGAGGGACCACCUUUGGCGAAGGCGCCUCACCAGAACGGCUUCGACAGUGAGGGACGAAAGCUGGGGGAGCAAACCGGAUUAGAUACCCGGGUAGUCCCAGCCGUAAACUAUGCGCGUUAGGUGUGUCGGUGACCACGAGUUACCGAGGUGCCGAAGGGAAACCGUGAAACGUGCCGCCUGGGAAGUACGGUCGCAAGGCUGAAACUUAAAGGAAUUG
Molecule: ribosomal RNA, 467 nt
Filed under: uncultured archaeon
Lineage: Archaea
Description: bacterial SSU rRNA
Rfam family: Archaeal small subunit ribosomal RNA
Source: RNAcentral